UAGGGAAUAUUGGACAAUGGGCGCAAGCCUGAUCCAGCAAUGCCGCGUGAGUGAUGAAGGCCUUAGGGUUGUAAAGCUCUUUUACCCGAGAUGAUAAUGACAGUAUCGGGAGAAUAAGCCCCGGCUAACUCCGUGCCAGCAGCCGCGGUAAUACGGAGGGGGCUAGCGUUGUUCGGAAUUACUGGGCGUAAAGCGCACGUAGGCGGUUAUUCAAGUCAGAGGCGAAAGCCCAGUGCUCAACACUGCAACUGCCUUUGAAACUAGAUAGCUUGAAUCCAGGAGAGGUGAGUGGAAUUCCGAGUGUAGAGGUGAAAUUCGUAGAUAUUCGGAAGAACACCAGUGGCGAAGGCGGCUCACUGGACUGGUAUUGACGCUGAGGUGCGAAAGCGUGGGGAGCAAACAG
RNAcentral lists this ribosomal RNA (403 nucleotides) under uncultured bacterium. Its description in RNAcentral is "bacterial SSU rRNA". It matches the Rfam family "Bacterial small subunit ribosomal RNA", at positions 355 to 775 of the family's 1533-position model. The record is from RNAcentral.